GAUGAACGCUGGCGGCGUGCCUAACACAUGCAAGUCGAGCGAACACACGAUGAGAUUGUUCCUCUGACGUUAGCGGGGGGCGGACGAGUAAGAAGUAGAUCACCUUCCUCUAUGUCGUGGGUGAUUACGGAGAAACACUGAUAAUAAUAGCUCAUAUAACGUACCGCUUGGAUCAAUAGUUCAUGGCACUUUUCGCGAUUCUAUUAGCUGGUUCCGGGUGGUCUUAGCUAGUGGGUAAGGUAACGGCCUACCAAGGCAACGAUGCGUAGCUGACAUGAGAGGAUGAUCGGCCACACUGGAACUGAGACACGGUCCAGACUCCUACGGGAGGCAGCAGUAGGGAAUCUUGCACAAUGGGCGAAAGCCUGACGCAGCAAUGCCGCGUGAGUGAUGAAGGUCUUCGGGUCGUAAAGCUCUUUUGUUGGGAAAGAAAAGAAGUGGAAGAAUCUAUGGCCGUCUUGACGGUACCUAAACAGAAAGCCACGGCUAACUACGUG
This 497-nucleotide ribosomal RNA is filed under the name uncultured bacterium. RNAcentral describes it as "partial 16S ribosomal RNA". It matches the Rfam family "Bacterial small subunit ribosomal RNA", at positions 28 to 507 of the family's 1533-position model. The record is from RNAcentral.